Molecule: ribosomal RNA, 253 nt
Filed under: uncultured bacterium
Lineage: Bacteria
Description: partial 16S ribosomal RNA
Rfam family: Bacterial small subunit ribosomal RNA
Source: RNAcentral
UACAGAGGUGGCAAGCGUUGUUCGGAAUUACUGGGCGUAAAGGGCGCGUAGGCGGUCUUGCAAGUCCCGUGUGAAAUCCCUCGGCUCAACCUGGGAACUGCAUCCGAAACUGCCUUGCUCGAGUAUGGGAGAGGGAAGUGGAAUUUCCGGUGUAGCGGUGAAAUGCGUAGAUAUCGGAAGGAACAUCAGUGGCGAAGGCGACUUCCUGGACCAAUACUGACGCUCAGGUGCGAAAGCGUGGGGAGCAAACAGG